CCUACGGGUGACAGCAGUGGGGAAUAUUGCGCAAUGGGCGCAAGCCUGACCCAGCGAAGUAGCGUGAAGGAUGAAGGUCCUAGGGUUGGAAACCUCCGUCUGUAGGGGAGUAAGGUCACUGUGGUAUUCAGCAGUGAAUUGACGGUAUGUGUAAAGGACGCCCAGGUUAACUCCGUGACCGCAGCCGCGGUAAUACGGCGGGGGCGAGCGUUAAUCGGUAUUACUGGGAGUAAGGGGCUCGUAGCCGGUAUGUCAAGUCAGUGGUGAAAUCCCCGCGCUCAACGUGGGAACUGCCUUGGAAACUGGCAAACUGGAGUGUGGUGGAGGGUAGUGGAAUUCCAGGUGUAGGGGUGAAAUCCUUAGAUAUCUGGAAGAACCUCAGUGGCGAAGGCAGCUAUCUGGAACAUAACUGACGCUGAGGCGCGAAAGCGUGGGUAGCAAACAGGAUUAGAUACCCUUGUAGUC
RNAcentral lists this ribosomal RNA (465 nucleotides) under uncultured bacterium. RNAcentral's name for it is "partial 16S ribosomal RNA". It matches the Rfam family "Bacterial small subunit ribosomal RNA", at positions 338 to 795 of the family's 1533-position model. The record is from RNAcentral.